UGGGUUCCCAACAGUCAAAAGCCGAAGAUUUUAUAUUGACCUUUCACUUUUUCUAUCUGUCUCUCGCUCUAAUUUGAGCGAUUUUCCCCUGAUGAGUGUCCCCGAGCCUCCUCGUGUGGUUGUUGUUGUUGGAAGUUGAAACCGAAACCCCCUCGUGUGCUACCAAAAUCAGCGAAGAACGAAAUCGAGUGGCUCAAGCGAAAAAACGAAAAAAAAUGACGAACGAGUGUGCUGUGACAAUAACACACACACGCACAAGGCGACAACCGAAAUCUGGUGCGAUACCGGCUUUCAGUGGAGCAAGUACACACAUGCACACAUUUGGCCACACCAGCGCUCUGUUCUAGUGCAGGUAGUUUUCUGCAGUCCACGGUGAUACUACACACAGCCACGCACUUGGCGAUACACGCUGUGUGGUGGACGUUCAGAAUUCAGUGGUGCAAAUACACACAUGCAUACACUUGGCGACACACGCUCUGCUGUGCGGUGAGAUUUGUGUUCUGUGUCCAGUGGUGCAAAUAUACACACACACGCACUUGGCUACACACGCAGUACGGCGCGGUUGGCUUGGCAGAAGCGCAUACACAAAUUCACGCAGUAGGCUUCACUUUCAGUCCAGUGAGGUUGGUGCUUGUGUGGUGUUUCAGCGCUUGGCGGAUAAACCCCGUAAAAAAUGGAGUUUUGUUUAAUUUGAGACAACAAAACCUGUGUUUGUGAUGUGCAAAUGUUGGUGCAAAUGACGGUUACAGUGGAAAGAUGACAACCAUGAUCAACAGCGGUGGAGUGCAGAAAGUACGGUGAAAAUGUUGCUUUUUAUUCACGGAACAGUUGAUAAAAGUGUUUUUAAUAUAAUGUGCCAUAAUUUGUGUAAUUUGCGAAGUGUUGACCGUGUGUGAAAUAGUUGUUAGUGCGUCUCAUUAAACCGAUUUAUUUGCUAAAAUAAAUCAAGUUGUUCUACUACA
Molecule: long non-coding RNA, 962 nt
Organism: Anopheles gambiae (African malaria mosquito)
Lineage: Eukaryota; Metazoa; Arthropoda; Insecta; Diptera; Culicidae
Exons: 2
Source: RefSeq, a predicted model, not a curated record